RNAcentral lists this transfer RNA (87 nucleotides) under Fibrella aestuarina BUZ 2. Its description in RNAcentral is "tRNA-Leu". It matches the Rfam family "tRNA". From Rfam's summary of the family: Transfer RNA (tRNA) molecules are approximately 80 nucleotides in length. Their secondary structure includes four short double-helical elements and three loops (D, anti-codon, and T loops). The record is from RNAcentral. Lineage: Bacteria; Pseudomonadati; Bacteroidota; Cytophagia; Cytophagales; Spirosomataceae.
GCCGGGUUGGCGGAACCGGUAGACGCGAUGGUCUCAAACACCAUUGUUCGCAAGGACAUGCCGGUUCGAGUCCGGCACCCGGUACGA